GAGCUUUCGUCCCGUGGGUGCGAAAGGUAACCGAAGCGGCUCAGGAAGGCAGCUGUCACUGAGCCCCUGGAACAGAGCGAGAGUAUCGUAGUGGGCAGCAGUCAGUGACAGGUGUAACCUCUGUGGAUGACAGCAACAGUUAUUGGAGGAUACGGGGGAAGAGUGCCACAGUGUGUGAGAGGGGAACCCCCAUCAAGUGUGGCCAGCCCAUCCGGCUGACACAUGUCAACACUGGCCGAAACCUCCAUAGUCACCACUUCACUUCACCUCUUUCUGGAAACCAGGAGAACAAUAUGGUCGACCUAUCAGUGGGCAAAAAGAGGUGCAUGGCAUGGCCCAGCCAAGUCAGAACAGCUACUGGAAAGCCAUGGAAGGCAUCUUCAUGAAGCCCAGUGAGUUGUUGAAGGCAGAAGCCCACCAUGCAGAGCUAUGAAUCUAGAGGCUCUGAGCCACUGUUAACACACAAUGUUCACAGACGUCUGUUGCUGCCUCACCUUGGGAUCCCUGCCACAAGUUCCUUGGGCAGUGGCCAUGUCACCAUUGAGAUGAAGAUAUACAACAGAAAAUAGUGGCUGUGUUUGGAAGCUUCAGCCCUGCACAUUUGAACUAGUCACUCUCCCAGACUUGCGUGGGUCAGUUCUUUCUGAGUAGAGGACUUGCUGGUAAAGGGGCAGAUGCUUU
Molecule: small RNA, 681 nt
Filed under: Pan troglodytes (chimpanzee)
Lineage: Eukaryota; Metazoa; Chordata; Mammalia; Primates; Hominidae
Description: processed transcript
Source: RNAcentral